CCUACGGGAGGCAGCAGUAAGGAAUAUUGGUCAAUGGACGAAAGUCUGAACCAGCCAUGCCGCGUGAAGGAUUAAGGCCCUCUGGGUUGUAAACUUCUUUUAUCUGGGACGAAAAAAGGGUAUUCUUACUCACUUGACGGUACCAGAGGAAUAAGCACCGGCUAACUCCGUGCCAGCAGCCGCGGUAAUACGGAGGGUGCAAGCGUUAUCCGGAUUUACUGGGUUUAAAGGGUGCGUAGGUGGGCUUGUAAGUCAGUGGUGAAAUCUCCGGGCUUAACCCGGAAACUGCCAUUGAUACUAUAGGUCUUGAAUUAUCUGGAGGUAAGCGGAAUAUGUCAUGUAGCGGUGAAAUGCUUAGAUAUGACAUAGAACACCAAUUGCGAAGGCAGCUUACUACGGAUACAUUGACACUGAGGCACGAAAGCGUGGGGAUCAAACAGGAUUAGAUACCCUGGUAGUCCACGCCCUAAACGAUGGAUACUCGACAUCAGCGAUACACUGUUGGUGUCUGAGCGAAAGCAUUAAGUAUCCACCUGGGAAGUACGAUCGCAAGAUUGAAACUCAAAUGAUGAGNGNGAAGAGCGAGACGACACGAGGAGAGG
RNAcentral lists this ribosomal RNA (602 nucleotides) under uncultured bacterium. Its description in RNAcentral is "bacterial SSU rRNA". It matches the Rfam family "Bacterial small subunit ribosomal RNA", at positions 338 to 940 of the family's 1533-position model. The record is from RNAcentral.